RNAcentral lists this ribosomal RNA (492 nucleotides) under uncultured bacterium. RNAcentral's name for it is "partial 16S ribosomal RNA". It matches the Rfam family "Bacterial small subunit ribosomal RNA", at positions 29 to 507 of the family's 1533-position model. The record is from RNAcentral.
AGUGAACGCUGGCGGUAGGCCUAACACAUGCAAGUCGAACGGCAGCACAGUAAGAGCUUGCUCUUACGGGUGGCGAGUGGCGGACGAGUGAGGAAUACAUCGGAAUCUACUUUUUCGUGGGGGAUAACGUAGGGAAACUUACGCUAAUACCGCAUACGACCUACGGGUGAAAUCAGGGGAUCUUCGGACCUUGCGCGAUUGAAUGAGCCGAUGUCGGAUUAGCUAGUUGGCGGGGUAAGGGCCCACCAAGCCGACGAUCCGUAGCUGGUCUGAGAGGAUGAUCAGCCACACUGGAACUGAGAAACGGUCCAGACUCCUACGGGAGGCAGCAGUGGGGAAUAUUGGACAAUGGGCGAAAGCCUGAUCCAGCCAUACCGCGUGGGUGAAGAAGGCCUUCGGGUUGUAAAGCCCUUUUGUUGGGAAAGAAAAGCAGCAGGUUAAUACCCCGCUGUUCUGACGGUACCCAAAGAAUAAGCACCGGCUAACUUCGUG